This 505-nucleotide ribosomal RNA is filed under the name uncultured bacterium. Its description in RNAcentral is "partial 16S ribosomal RNA". It matches the Rfam family "Bacterial small subunit ribosomal RNA", at positions 28 to 507 of the family's 1533-position model. The record is from RNAcentral.
GACGAACGCUGGCGGCGUGCCUAAUACAUGCAAGUAGAACGCACAGUUUAUACCGUAGCUUGCUACACCAUAGACUGUGAGUUGCGAACGGGUGAGUAACGCGUAGGUAACCUGCCUGGUAGCGGGGGAUAACUAUCGGAAACGAUAGCUAAUACCGCAUAAUAUUAAUUAUUGCAUGAUAAUUAAUUGAAAGGUGCAAUUGCACCACUACCAGAUGGACCUGCGUUGUAUUAGCUAGUAGGUGAGGUAACGGCUCACCUAGGCGACGAUACAUAGCCGACCUGAGAGGGUGAUCGGCCACACUGGGACUGAGACACGGCCCAGACUCCUACGGGAGGCAGCAGUAGGGAAUCUUCGGCAAGGGACGAAAGUCUGACCGAGCAACGCCGCGGGAGUGAAGAAGGUUUUCGGAUCGUAAAGCUCGGUUGUAAGAGAAGAACGGGUGUGAGAGUGGAAAGUUCACACUGUGACGGUAUCUUACCAGAAAGGGACGGCUAACUACGUG